Molecule: long non-coding RNA, 554 nt
Organism: Phyllostomus hastatus (greater spear-nosed bat)
Lineage: Eukaryota; Metazoa; Chordata; Mammalia; Chiroptera; Phyllostomidae
Exons: 3
Source: RefSeq, a predicted model, not a curated record
CUCACUAUUUUCCAAAAAAAGAUGGAGAUGUUAGCUUGCCAAAAACUGAAAACAUGUAAUAAGAGCACACACCUCUUAGAAAUAAACUGCUGAUGGACUUGCACUGACCCAGGAAAGCAAUAGAUUUAUUCAUCUAGUGUUUCUCUUCAUCAGUUCACUGAAGCUGAAUUUGCGAUUAGAUGAAGCCCAGUUGUCACCUUUUAGGAAAGAAAAAAAAUACAGGUGUUGCCUGCUAGCUGAAAGUAGAGUGUUCCUGUGAAUCCUUUCGUACGCUGAAAUGGUAUAAAGUGAAGAAGAAAUUACCAUUAUUUUAAAAGCAAAAACUCUUUGGAUUUCUUCUGGUUAGCAGGAACAGGUAGGUUUCUCCUAAAAGCGAGCUGGCCUAACUCAAACUUUUGAAAAUCGGGGGUGGACGCCUAUAUUUAAAAAUUUAAGCACUUGAUAAAUUCCUCAAUUUAAAAUACUAUUAAAGUGUCCAAUAAAUCUCUAUUUAAAGUGGCAAGAUUUUACGAUGACAUAUGUAUUUAACCUUGAAUUGUAACCCCCCCUUACAA